This 251-nucleotide ribosomal RNA is filed under the name uncultured prokaryote. RNAcentral's name for it is "partial 16S ribosomal RNA". It matches the Rfam family "Bacterial small subunit ribosomal RNA", at positions 524 to 774 of the family's 1533-position model. The record is from RNAcentral.
UACGUAGGUGGCAAGCGUUGUCCGGAUUUACUGGGCGUAAAGGGAGCGUAGGUGGAUAUUUAAGUGGGAUGUGAAAUACUCGGGCUUAACCUGGGUGCUGCAUUCCAAACUGGAUAUCUAGAGUGCAGGAGAGGAAAGUAGAAUUCCUAGUGUAGCGGUGAAAUGCGUAGAGAUUAGGAAGAAUACCAGUGGCGAAGGCGACUUUCUGGACUGUAACUGACACUGAGGCUCGAAAGCGUGGGGAGCAAACA